GACGAACGCUGGCGGCGUGCUUAACACAUGCAAGUCGAACGGAAAGGCACUGCUUUUGUGGGGUGCUCGAGUGGCGAACGGGUGAGUAACACGUGAGUAACCUGCUCUUGACUUUGGGAUAACUUCAGGUAACUGGGGCUAAUACCGGAUAGGAGCUCCUGCUGCAUGGUGGGGGUUGGAAAGUUUCGGCGGUUGGGGAUGGACUCGCGGCUUAUCAGCUUGUUGGUGGGGUAGUGGCUUACCAAGGCUUUGACGGGUAGCCGGCCUGAGAGGGUGACCGGCCACAUGGGGACUGAGGGACGGACCAGACUCCAACGGGGGGCAGCGGUGGGGAGUAUUGCACAGUGGGCGGAAGCCUGAUGCAGCAACGCCGCGGGCGGAAUGACGGCCUUCGGGUUGUGAACCGCUUUCGCCUGUGACGAAGCGGGAGUGACGGUAAUGGGUAAAUAAGCACCGGCUAACUACGUG
RNAcentral lists this ribosomal RNA (468 nucleotides) under uncultured bacterium. Its description in RNAcentral is "partial 16S ribosomal RNA". It matches the Rfam family "Bacterial small subunit ribosomal RNA", at positions 28 to 507 of the family's 1533-position model. The record is from RNAcentral.